AAUGCUCGAUUGGGUUUUUUUUUUUGGACUGAACGCAAAAAGAAGAACACCAUUUGAAAGAGACGAAAACUAUGGCGCAUGAAUAGCAUUCUGGAAAAACACUCGAAUGCAACGCUCUAAUAAAAUAAAGGUGUAUUGAGAUGACCAAGCUCUCUCUACGAAAGAAUCGGCAGUGCCUCUCCUUCUCUCUCAGCCUCACUUUCAAGCAAUCGGAAGCUCACUCGCUCAGUCCUCUCACCAGCAUCGCUGUUUAAUUUGAAGCAGCGGAAAAGGAUCCUCUUGCUUUCAAUCUCCCUUCUUCUACAAUUCAAAUUUAGGCUCGAAGUAGCUCUUGCCUAGGUCAGAAUUUGGAAAUUUUGUUCAAAUUCUCAGGACUUUCUUCUUGAUUGAUUUUGUGUGUGAUUGCUUUCAUGGGUUGUGUUUUUCAUGAUGGUCCCCUUUCUUUGGUCUUCAAUUGGCUACGAUUCGGGUUUAUGCUUCAAAUAGGGUACGUUCCCUUUUUCUGACUUAAUUUUGAUAAAAAUCUUUGUUGGAAUUGAUAAAUUUUCCUUGGGACUGUUUGCAACGGUUGUGGUAUUUCUCUUUUUAUUGACUCUUUGUUUCGUUAGUUGAGUUUGAUACAAAUGUCGCCCCGUAUGUCUAAGCCUCGUGCACCAAAACCUUCCAAGCCCACCCGCACGUCAAAGUCUUCCAAGUCCACCCACGCUGAUAAAUCUCAAACAGACAUCUCUUUUUGUUCAGUUUUCCUUAGUGGCACUUAGAUGCUGGUUACUCAUCCAUUUUAAAUCUUGUAUAUUGCAGGAUACUCUUCCGUUUUGUCAAAGCUACGACUUGCGUGGUUCUUCUCUACAAUCGUAUUGUCUACUUUGCUUGUGACGGUCGGGCAUUGCCCAUCUUCAAUUGUCAAAGAGAGAACUAGUAACAAUGAUCUCAUAUUGCUGAAACUGAAGUCGGACAGAUAGAACUAGUAGCUUGCUUAGAUAGGAAGAAUCGCAUAGAUAGGAAAAAUCGUGUAAUGAUGCUUGUUGCAGCAACAUGAAUCUGCAUUUUCUUUUAAUUUUAACUUGAUAGGAACUUAACAAUCUUGCUCUAGAAUUAAUGAUAUAUUUUGUGCUCUACAUGGACACACACACA
This is a non-coding RNA of Malus domestica (apple), 1134 nucleotides long. The record is from RefSeq and is a predicted model, not a curated record. NCBI's taxonomy places the organism in Eukaryota, Viridiplantae, Streptophyta, Magnoliopsida, Rosales, Rosaceae.